AGCAGCCGCGGUAAUUCCAGCUCCAAUAGCGUAUAUUAAAGUUGCUGCAGUUAAAAAGCUCGUAGUUGAAUUUCGGGACCGAUAUAUCGGUCGUGCCUCGGUACGUACUGGUAUUUUCGGUUUCUACCUUCUGACGAACCUUGAUGUCAUUAAUUUGGUGUCUUGGGGAAUCAGGACUGUUACUUUGAAAAAAAUUGAGUGUUUAAAGCAGGCUCACGCUUGAAUACAUUAGCAUGGAAUAAUGAAAUAGGACGUUUGAUUCUAUUUUGUUGGUUUCUUAGGAUUCGACGUAAUGAUUAAUAGGGAUAGUUGGGGGCAUUAGUAUUCAAUUGUCAGAGGUGAAAUUCUUGGAUUUAUUGAAGACUA
RNAcentral lists this ribosomal RNA (366 nucleotides) under uncultured Glomeromycotina. RNAcentral's name for it is "SSU rRNA". It matches the Rfam family "Eukaryotic small subunit ribosomal RNA", at positions 569 to 938 of the family's 1831-position model. The record is from RNAcentral. Lineage: Eukaryota; Fungi; Glomeromycota.